GCGUUGGCUUGGAUGGAUGGCAAUCCAGUCGCUGCUGUCCUGUCAUGGUGCUGUGCCUGAGUAAACUAGCCCAAACCAGUGGCUGGCCUUCUUGCCCUAUGCUGUGGACACUGAAUCAGGUUGCGCCCCG
This 130-nucleotide small nucleolar RNA is filed under the name Echinops telfairi (small Madagascar hedgehog). RNAcentral's name for it is "Small nucleolar RNA SNORA42/SNORA80 family (ENSETEG00000024039.1)". The record is from RNAcentral. Lineage: Eukaryota; Metazoa; Chordata; Mammalia; Afrosoricida; Tenrecidae.